RNAcentral lists this ribosomal RNA (775 nucleotides) under uncultured Neocallimastigales. Its description in RNAcentral is "partial large subunit ribosomal RNA". It matches the Rfam family "Eukaryotic large subunit ribosomal RNA", at positions 24 to 649 of the family's 3401-position model. The record is from RNAcentral. Lineage: Eukaryota; Fungi; Neocallimastigomycota; Neocallimastigomycetes; Neocallimastigales.
UACGACUACAUAUCAGGCAUAUCAAUAAGCGGAGGAAAAGGAACUAACAAGGAUUCCCUUAGUAACGGCGAGUGAAGCGGGAAGAGCUCAAAUUUGAAAUCUUCAAGGUUCUACCUUGACUGAAUUGUAGUUUAAAGAAGUGUUUUCUGUUGGAGUUUUGGUAAAAGUUCUUUGGAAUAGGACAUCAUAGAGGGUGAGAAUCCCGUAUUUGACCAUUAUUUCCGGCUUUGUGAUACACUUUCAAAGAGUCGGAUUGUUUGGGAAUGCAGUCCAAAAUGGGUGGUAAAUUUCAUCUAAAGCUAAAUAUUGGCGAGAGACCGAUAGCGAACAAGUACCGUGAGGGAAAGAUGAAAAGAACUUUGAAAAGAGAGUUAAACAGUACGUGAAAUUGUCAAAAGGGAAGCGUUUGACACCAGUGUUGUUUUUCCAAAAAUCAAUUACGAAUGGCUUGAUUUUGUGUUGUAUUGACCUUAUCAGCUUUCUUCACUUUUUUCGAGUCUUUCUUAAUGCACUUUUUGGCUAACAAGUCAACACCAAUUUCUUUUGUUGUAAAAGAGUAUUCGGAAGGUGGCUUUCUUUUCGGAGAAAGUGUUUAUAGCCCUAUACUUCUACAAUCGGAGAGAUUGAGGUCUGCAGCGUAGAUCCUUCGGGGUUAGAUACACUUGUGCUAAGUUGUAGCUUUUCAUAGACAACUUGUUGACUAUGUUUAGUCAUGCGGCUUACUCGCUUGUGCUAUUUUACCUACGCUUAGGAUGUUGAGUAGCGACAUACGCAC